Molecule: ribosomal RNA, 468 nt
Filed under: uncultured bacterium
Lineage: Bacteria
Description: partial 16S ribosomal RNA
Rfam family: Bacterial small subunit ribosomal RNA
Source: RNAcentral
GACGAACGCUGGCGGCGUGCUUAACACAUGCAAGUCGAACGGAAAGGCCCUGCUUUUGUGGGGUGCUCGAGUGGCGAACGGGUGAGUAACACGUGAGUAACCUGCCCUUGACUUUGGGAUAACUUCAGGAAACUGGGGCUAAUACCGGGUAGGAGCUCCUGCUGCAUGGUGGGGGUUGGAAAGUUUCGGCGGUUGGGGAUGGACUCGCGGCUUAUCAGCUUGUUGGUGGGGUAGUGGCUUACCAAGGCUUUGACGGGUAGCCGGCCUGAGAGGGUGACCGGCCACAUUGGGACUGAGAUACGGCCCAGACUCCUACGGGAGGCAGCAGUGGGGAAUAUUGCACAAUGGGCGGAAGCCUGAUGCAGCAACGCCGCGUGCGGGAUGAAGGCCUUCGGGUUGUAAACCGCUUUCGCCUGUGACGAAGCGUGAGUGACGGUAAUGGGUAAAGAAGCACCGGCUAACUACGUG